This 455-nucleotide ribosomal RNA is filed under the name uncultured bacterium. Its description in RNAcentral is "bacterial SSU rRNA". It matches the Rfam family "Bacterial small subunit ribosomal RNA", at positions 29 to 509 of the family's 1533-position model. The record is from RNAcentral.
AAUGAACGUUGGCGGCGUGGAUUAGGCAUGCAAGUCGAGCGAGAAGCUUUGAUUGAUCUUUCGAGUGAAGUCAAAGUGGACAGCGGCGAAAGGGAGAGUAACGCGUAGAUAUGUACCCAGGGGUUCGGAUAGCGGGGAACCGCCGGUAAUACCGAAUAACGUCUCCGGACCAAAGAUUUAUCGCCCUUGAGCGGUCUGCGUCCUAUUAGCUUGUUGGUGGGUAAUGGCUUACCAAGGCUAUGAUGGGUAGCGGGUGUGAGAGCAUGGCCCGUCUCACUGGGACUGAGACACUGCCCAGACGUCUACGGACGGCUGCAGUCGAGAAUCUUCCGCAAUGGACGAAAGUCUGACGGAGCGACGCCGCGUGCGGGAUGAAGGCCUUCGGGUUGUAAACCGCUGUCAGAGGGAGCAAAUUUUGAGCGAUCCUCAGAGGAAGCACAGGCUAAGUUCGUGCC